CUCCCGGGAGUGGUUUUCUCGCGAUCCGCGUGCACGGCGGGCACUCCGGGGCCCCCGCGAGUGAGGUGCGAAGAAGUGUUUGUGCGUGCGCGACGACAUGGAGUCUCCGGCGGUGUUCAUCGAUGAGCGCCAAGAUGUUCAGAAGAAGACGUUCACAAAGUGGAUUAAUGCGCACUUGUCCAAGACGACGUGCUCGCCGGUGGCGGACCUGUUCGUGGACCUGCGCGACGGGCAUCGGCUGCUGGCGCUGCUCGAGGUGCUGACCGGCGAGCGGCUGAGGCGCGAGAAGGGCCGCAUGCGAGUGCAUCACAUCAACAACAUCAACACGGCGCUCACGGUGUUGCAGCGCAGCGGCGUGAAGCUGGUGAACAUCUCCAGUGAUGACAUCGUGGCGGGCAGUGCCAAGCUGACGCUGGGCUUGAUUUGGGCCAUUGCGCUGAGCUUCGAUGGGCAGAAGUUGGUGAAUUCGCAGGGCGUGAGUGGCAUUGAGAAGAGUUUGCUGCUCUGGGCACGACGCUAUACAGAACCGCACGGCCUGAAGAUCGGCGAUUUCUCGGGCAGUUGGUCAGAUGGACGAGCGUUUCUCUACAUUCUGCACGAGCACGUGCCGAAAUUCGAUCUUGAGCGAUCUGUGAGGCAGCAUCCAAUGGCAAGGCUGCGCAUGGCGUUCGAUUUGGCCAGUCGAUACUUGAACAUCGAUCAGCUCUUGGAUCCUGAAGAUGUGAACACAAAUAAGCCGGACAAGAAGUCGAUUCUCAUGUAUGUGAUGUAUUUAUAUCAUGCCAUUGAGAAUCUACAGCAGUUGAGCAGCCAAGAGGCGAUGGAGAGUCAGAGUUUGUUGGUGCAGCAGAGUGAGAGCAUGGAUGAGAUUCAGUUGCUGGAUGAGACGCAAGUUGUGGAGCAUUUUGUGGAGUGUCAGAGUGUUGUGCAGGAUGAACAGCCGGCGAUUCAUGUGGGCAAUUUGACGGCAUUGGAUGAGAUUUCGCUGGCAAAGAGUGCUGAUGAUCUCAGCAAGAUGCCGAGUGUGAGUGUUAAGCGGAUUGUCACGGAGAGUUUGAGUUCUGGUGUGUCGCAAGAGGUGAAGAUUGAGGAGGAAAGGCCGCCGGAAGUGCGAUCGAGACCGGUUUCCACGGCCACAAAUGCGUCAAUUGACAUUGGGACGUAUCAGAGUGCCGUGGAGGAGGUGUUGACGGUGCUGCUGGAGGCUGAGGAGGUGCUGACGAAGGAUCUGCAGAGUGCUGAUGACUUGCCGGAGGCGCGACGGCAAUUUCUCGAGUAUCAGGAGUUCAUGAAGAAGCUGUCGGUGCAGCAGAACUUCGUGGGAGCGGCACUGGAGGAGGGCGCACGUCUCAUCACGGAUUCGCAGGCGUUGGGCGCCAAGGGAUUGACGCCGGAGGAGCAGGAAGAAGUGCGUCAGCAAAUGCGACUGCUGAAUAAGCGAUGGAAUGCGUUGCGUGAUCGUGCGGAGUUUGUUCAGGGGAAGAUUCACGAUCAGCUGACGGAUUUGCAGGCGCGCAAGAUUGAGGAGUUGAGGGUGUUUCUCACCAACACGGAGGACAGGAUAUCGCGCUUCAGGGAUGUGGGCAUGAGUCAGGAGGAGCUGAAGGUGCAGUUUGAGGAGCACAAGCGCUUCCAGCGCGAUCUGGAGGAGCAGCAGAAGCUGGUGGACAGUCUGAGCAAUCUGGUGGUGAUUGUGGAGGAUGAGCCGGAGAAUGCCAGUGAUCUGGAGGACAAGCUGGCGGCGCUGGGCGAGCGAUGGUCGCACGUGCUGAAGUGGACGUCGACGCGUUGGGAGAAGUUGCAGGAGUUGAGCAACAAGUGGGUGAAGUUGACGGACAACUACAGGAUCCUCAUACGCUGGAUGGACGCCCGGGAGGCGGAUUUGAAGGCGAUGGAGGGCAGAGAAGUGACGGAGAUUGGUGGCGUUGUGAUGCGAAUGAAGGAGUUGCGCUAUGGUGAGAAGGAUUUGCAGGUGUUUGGGAAGCAUUUGCAGGAGUUGGAAGUUGUGGCGAAUGCUCUGAAUGCGGAUAUUGUGGAGAAUCUGGAGAAUCUCACGGAUCGCUCGGAGGCGCUGAAGCAGAUUCUGGACGUUCAGCAGAUGCGCAUCGAAAGCAUGGGCUUUCAAUUUCCCAUUCACUCCAAUGAGGUGAUUGAGAAGCCGUCGAAUUGGGAGGAUUUCCAGGAGAUGAUCAUGAUGCAUGAGGAGGAGAUGAAGGUGGACACGCAGGAGGAGGAGGUGAAGAAGCUCGAGGAGGCUGACGAUUCGCCGCAGUCGAAGAAGAAGCGACGCUUGAACAAGACGGAGAGAGUGAUGGAAUUGGAGGGAAAGUUGAUUGAAAUGCUGCAUUUUAUUGAUCAAUUUGAAGACAGCACGCAAUUCCUCGAGGGAAUGCAGCUCAACAGGCGUCAGAGUUUCCUCAACAAUCUCGAUGAGGAGCUGAAGAUGAAGAUUGAACAGUAUGCGGAGGUGAAGGAGUUGCUAGACAUGUGCAAAGUCGAAAUGUCUGUGGUGGAUUUGGAGUUGGAGGAGCAAAAGUUGCUGGAAAUUGGCUCAAAGUAUGAUGAAUUUGUGUUCAGAUUGGAGGAUUUGACGGGGCAGGUGAAGAGUGAUGUGAAUCGGGAGAAGUAUCACAAGAUCCUGACGGGAUUGAAGCUCGUGCUGGCGGAUUCGAGGGAUUGGUUCAAGCAGCACGCGAGCAGUGCUUCCCGGGAAGAGUUGGAGACACGCUUGAGUGACAUGGAGUCGCUGAAUCCGGAGAUUAGUGAGGCGAAGAUGCUCAGCACGGGCGCGCUGAAGGAGUGGAAAGUGGAAUUUGAUCAGUUCAGCGAGAGUUGGUCGGAUUUGAAGCGGGCGAUUCAGAGACUUGUCCAGGAAAUGGGCGGCAGAGAGGAUUUGUCGGAGGAAAGGGAGAAACUCCAGGCGUUAAUUGUGGCUGCUGAAGCUGUGAAUGCCUUGAAUGACAAUCCACAAAUCAUGGCGGAGAAUCUGAAGAGACUCAAUGAAUUGCUGGGAAAGUUUGAGGAGAUGCACGAGUUGUUUGAGUAUUUCUGCGAGAAUGCUGAUCCCGAGGAGGCUUCCAGUCUCUCAGAAGCGUGGAAGAAGAUCCCGAGUUGCGUGAAUGAGAAGAUCAUCAAGCAGAAUACAGCGAUUGAGAAUCACAAUCACUUCCGGCGCGAGAUGGACAACAUUCUGCGUCAGAUGGAGAAGAUCGAGAGUGUGCUGCGCGAGGAUGUUUUCAUUGUCGGUGAGCACAAGAUGCUGAAGAAGAAGGGCGAAGAGUACGAAGUGCACGCAAUUGAGAUUAAGAAGAUGGAAAUUGACAUUAUUAGCGUGAAGAAUUUCAGUGAGAUCAUCGUGAAGUCGAGUGAAAAGCCACAUGCGGAUGAAAUGGCGCAGCAAAUUCAGCAUUUGAAUGAGAAAUAUGCUCAACUCAUCGAUCUCUUUCACGCCAAUUCGCGCAAACUCAAUCAAACGGCAUCGCAGACGGAAAACGUCGUGACACGCGUGAAGGACAUGGAAUUCUGGCUGAAUGAUCUGCAAAUGAACACGCCGAAGAAUGAAAAUUGCGAAAUUGGCAAUUCCAACGAACUCUUCCAGAUCAAGCUCAAGUUCCAGAGUCUCAAGGAGACGUGCGAACAGGAGACGGUGAAGUUUCGCGAAUUGAUUGAGGCUGGCAAUGAGAUUCUCAUUCAAGUGGACGAUUUGGUGCAGCAAAAGACGGACAGCAAGGUUUCCUAUCUCGCCAAGAAGUUCACCAAGUUGAAUGCGCGCUGGAAUGAAGUCACUUCGCUGGUCUACACAAGGACGGCGCUGCUGGAGCACAUUUCCAGUCAGCUGGGCGACUUCAAGACGCUCAUCGUGCAGGAGCACGGAUAUCUGGACAAGGUGGAGAAGCUGCUGAGGAAGAGUCCGGAAAGUGCGGCGGACGCCGAGGAAAUCUCAGAGGAAUUGGAUGAUCUCGAGAAUUCCAUCAGAAAUCAUCCGGACGAGCGUCUGGAGAAGAUUCAGGAGAUCGGAAAUGAGCUGGUUGAGCUGCAAUUCAUGGCUCAGGCGAUCACAGAUGAAGUCCAUCAAGUUGUCGAGCGUUGGAAUUUGCUGCAACAUCAGGCGGAACAGCGCGGCAAGAUGCUGGAACAGGCGGUGAAUGAGGCGCAAACGAGCGAAGGUCGAGUUUCGAAUUUGCAACUUUGGAUAUUCAAAGUUGACGAAAUCUUGACGGAACACAUUGAGAAUGACAUCACGAUGGAGGAUUUGCCGCAUGAUUUCCAGCGCCUGAUUGAGGAGUUCCAGAACAACGAGAAGGCGCUGGAGGAGAUGAAGGAGCAGGUGACGAUUUACCAGAAGAGCAACAAAGUGGAGGCGUCGAAGAGGCUUCAGGAGCAGGUGGAUUUGCUGGAGGAUCGCUUUCAGAUGUGUCGUCAGAAGUUGGAGAAGUUCACGUCGCCUCAGUCGGGCUUCGAGUCGCGCCUGAAUCGCGCCAUGGGCGAGUUGAGGAAUGUCGAGAGGAGUUCAGUUGUGUUGGACGUUUCGUCGGCGAGUCCGAACAAUGUUGAGGAUCAGUUGCAGCAUUGCUUGAAGAUGUACAGAGUGCUGUCGGAGGUGAAGGCGGAGACGGAGAAUGUGAUUAAGACGGGCAGGAAGAUCUGUGAGGAUCCGAUGACGAAGAAUCCCAAGAAGUUGUCGCAGCGAAUUGACGCGCUGAAGCAUUUGUACAAUGCUUUGGGGGAAAAUGUGACGGAGUCGAAGAAACAGCUGGAGAUUCUGCUGAAGCUGGCCAAGGAGUUGAGUGAGAAUCUGCGGAUUGUGGAGCUGUUUCUCACGCAGGUGCGCAAGGCGGCGGAUGGUGGCAAGCCGCCGGCGGAGGAGGAGAAGGACGAGGCCGAGGCGGCGCUGGCGAGAUGCCGAGAAGUGCUGGAAGAGUACACGGAAAUCUGCGAGGCGGUGUAUUUGGAGGAUGUGCGCGAUCGAAUUGAUAAUCUGGCAGUGAGAUUCAAUCAGCUCAACAUGGGCGAAGUUGAUGAGAUGAAAGUGCUCAGCGAGAUGACGAUGACUCUUCAAAAUAUGGACAAUAUUUCUGCUGAGUCUCUCAAAACAAUGGCGCAGGAUUUGGAGAAAAUGACGCUGAAGAGCGACGAAGUGAAGAGACAACAUUCUCACGUGAAGCAAAUUGUUCAGGAGGCCGUGGAGGCGCGGCGGAGUGGCGCCGCGGCGGAGGAGGAGACGGAAAUUGUCGUGGUGAGCGACACGGUGCGGCAGCGGCGCGCGCGGACGCCGAGCUCGAAUGUGGACAGCGCGGAGAUUCAGCUGGCGGACGUGCAGGCGAGCGUGAUGCCGGAUCUGCUGCCCAAGACGUUCCAUCUGGCCGAGACGAGUGCGCUGUUCUCGCACAUCUCGCAGAAGGGCAGCGACGAGCGUCUGCUGAGCGACGAGAAGCGCGAGGAUGAAUUCUCCGUGGUGGCGAUUCGGGAGACGAACACGACGCCAAAGAUGACGGUGAAGAAUGUCCAUUUGUCCCUGGAGGAGGAGGAGGAGGACGAGGCGCCGCGGCCGAAGGUCGGGCAGAUUGUGCUGGAGAGCGUGGAUGUGUUUGAGCCGGAAUUCGUGGAGACGGUGAACAUUGUGGACGCUUCUGAGGACACUUCGGACACGGACAGUUGCUCGACGCCGCAAUUGCGCGAACGAAGUCGCGGGAAUUUGAGUUGUCUGGACGAAUUGGAGCGCGAGCUGGAGAAUUACAACACGAGUGACAUUGAGCGCGAGGUGAUUCGCAUUGAGAAGCAGAGGAUUUCGUUUGAGGAGAAGCGCGUGGAGGACAAGGAGCGGGACAUUCUCAGGGAUUCGGAGAUGGAAGUGAGGAAGCCGCCGAGGAAAAUCCGUCCGAAUCUCAGGGAGAUUCUCAGUCAGCCGGAGAGAGAUAGUUUCUAUGCGUCGGACAAGGAGAACUUCGAUGAGCCGCUGGUGUUUUCCGACGACGAAGACAUUCCGCGCUUUUCCAAAGAAAUGGCGCCAGCCAAUGAUUCUGACAGCGACACGGGUCGCAUCGAGACGCCGAAGAUCCUGAAGCCGGCCACGAAGGCCAACAAGGUGCCGACGGGCGACGAGGGGAGUCUGGAGCAGCGCGUGGGCGAAUUCGAGAAGACGGCGAAGUACAUGGUGCGCAAAUUGGAGGCGACAAGGCAGGAGAUUGAGCGCUGCGACGACGGCUUUGGCGCUGUGGAGCAUCUCAAGCAUCUCAUUGCUCCGGACGCCGCCACGCUCAUCUCCCAGGGUGACAAUCUCGUGCUGGAGACGCACGGCAAGAUUGGCGACUUGUCGCAGCGCGUCAUGGCGACUCAGGGACAGCUGAGGGAGAAAUUCCGCGAAGUGCAGCAUGCGAAAAUGGCGAAGCUGUCUUCGAGCGCUGAUGGCGAGGAGAAGAGCAGGAAGAUGUCGGCGGAGUUGGUGAGUUCAGAGACGGCCAGACAGCGUCAGCUGAGCAAGGAUCUCACGGAGAUCGAGGAUAUUGUCAACAAAGUGCUGAAGAGAACGCAGGAUUUGAUUGAGAAGCCUCUGAAUGAUUCCUCAGCUGAUGAGCUGUCAAAGAGGAUUCUGGAUAUAAGAGAGCGUCAGGAGGACCUGAAGCUGGCCAUUGAGAUCGCAUCGCAGGCGAAUCCCUGUCCGAAGGUGAAAAUCACGAUGGAGAGUCUGCAGAAGGCCAAGACGGAUCUGUCGUCGCACUGCGAUGCAGUCGUGGUGACGCUGGCGAGUCUGAAUCGCGGAUCCGCAGAUGCUGGGAGCGGAUCUCGAGAUGGGGACAAGUCUGAGCUGGAAAAUGGGAAGACGCCAUCUCGAGAGGGCACACCGAAGCGCAGAGACUCUUCGGAGCCUUACAUUCCUGGCUCGUUCACCGCCAAGGCGAGGGCAAAAGCUCUCGGGACUGGAGCUUCUCUGUCCGCGAGCUUUGACAAGUCCAUCCUUCAGAUCUCCGACUGGCUGAGCCUCGAGCGAGACAUGCUGAAGGGCCAGAGUGUCUUUGUUGGCGACAUCGAUGCAAUUCUCAUGGCCAUUGACAAGCAAAAGAAUGUGUUGCGAGAAUUGGAGUUCAAGAAACCUCAACUGGAUGAAUUGGUUCACACUGCAGAGACACUUAAGACUGACGCCAAUCGUCUUCAGCUCCAGAGCAAAGUUACGCGCUUGAGAGAGCAUUGGGACGAGACAUCACAAUGUGUUCUGCAGAGGAAAUCGCAACUUGCCGCGAUGUUGGGCGACUCUCAAAGAUACGAAGCGAAGCGCCUGGAGAUUGAAGCCUGGAUGCAGCGAAUGGAGAAUCGCGCUGAUAGGAUGGGAAGUGUCGCGACGACAGCUGAUGUCCUGGAUGCACAGCAGAAGGAGCAAAAGUCAUUCCAUGCGGAAUUGCAUCAAUACAAGCAUCAGAUUGAGUUGUUCAAUCAACUGACACAGAAGCUGAUUGCCGUCUAUCCGACUGACGACACAUCGAGAAUCAAGCGAAUGACCGAAUCGGUGAAUUUGCGGUACAACAAUUUGAACAACGUGGUCAUAAAUCGUGGCAAACUUUUGCACGCCGCCGUUCACAAUUUGCAAUCCUUCGACAGGACAAUGGAUCAAUUUCUGGCGUGGCUGAGCGAACGCGAGAGCGAAGCGGAGACAAUCUGCGAGAAUGCUGAGCAAGAACCGCAUGUGCUAAAGGAUUUGCAAUCUGAAAUUGAAUCGCAUCGAGUGGUUUAUGAUCGCUUGGACAAUACGGGCAGGAAGCUUCUUGGCUCUCUGACAUCGCAAGAGGAUGCUGUGAUGCUGCAGCGUCGCUUGGACGAGAUGAAUCAGCGAUGGAAUCAUCUGAAAGCCAAAAGCAUCGCCAUCCGAAAUCGCCUGGAGUCGAAUGCUGAGCACUGGAAUGCGCUGCUUCUGUCGCUGCGCGAACUCACCGAGUGGGUGAUUAGGAAGGACACGGAAUUGUCAACGCUGGGCUUGAGUCCUGUUCGUGGCGAUGCGGCGAGUCUGCAGAAGCAACUUGACGACCACAAGGCGUUCCGCCGCCAAUUGGAGGACAAGAGGCCGAUCGUGGAGAGCAAUUUGCUGAGUGGCAGACAGUAUGUGGCCAGCGAACCGCCAGUGUCCGAUACAAGUGACACAGAAGCGCUGGACAGCGACUCGAGGUACUUGUCGGCGGAGGAGCAGAGCAGGGAGCUGACGCGCAGCAUCCGGCGAGAAGUGGCCAAAUUGUCUGAGCAAUGGAACAAUCUAAUUGAUCGAUCUGACCACUGGAAGCAUCGUCUCGAUGAGUACAUGACGAAAAUGCGCCAAUUCCAGAAGACUCUGGAGGAUUUGAGCUCGCGCGUGGCCUCGGCGGAGACAUUGACGUCUUCCUGGACGCCGCCGCCGACGGCGUCCGAGGCGGCGGAUCAGAUGCAGCAUCUGCAGCGGCUCAGGGACAAGAUGACGACAGCCGGCGCUCUGCUGGACGACUGCAAUGAGCAACAAGGAUUCUUCACCGCCAAUCACGUGCUGGUGCCGAAUCCGUGCCUGGCGAAGCUGGAGGACCUGAACACGCGCAUGAAGCUGCUGCAGAUCGCCAUGGAUGAGCGCCAGAAGGUGCUCGUGAGCGCCGGAGCGAGUCAGAUGGGAGUGGAUUUGGAUGGAUCGCGUCACUCGCAGAUCAACAGCGGCACUAUUGGUCCCCUGCCCAAUCUGGGCGCCAGCGUCAAGGCGCCCUGGGAGCGCGCAACGACGCCCGCCAAUGUGCCUUACUACAUAGACCACGAACGGGAAACCACUCAUUGGGACCAUCCGGAGAUGAUUGAACUGAUGAAGUCGCUGGCUGAACUCAAUGACGUCCGCUUCUCGGCUUAUCGCACUGCGCUCAAGCUGAGAGCCGUCCAGAAGCGUCUCGCUUUGGAUCGCAUCCCAAUGUCCCUCGCCAUUGAGUCCUUCGAUCGCCACGGCCUCCGGGCGCAGAAUGACAAACUGAUAGACAUUCCGGACAUGACGACAGUGCUGCACUCGCUCUUCGUGACGGUGGAUCAGAUUGAUUUGCCGCUGAUGCUUGACUUGGCCAUCAACUGGAUCCUCAAUGUGUACGAUUCCCAGCGCACUGGGCAGAUUCGCGUGCUGAGCUUCAAGGUGGGCCUGAUUCUGCUGUGCAAGGGUCAUCUGGAGGAGAAGUACCGCUAUCUGUUCCGCCUCAUUGCCGAUCCGGAGCGCAAGGUGGACCAGCGCAAGCUGGGCUUGCUGCUGCACGAUUGCAUCCAGGUGCCGCGGCAGCUGGGCGAAGUGGCGGCGUUCGGCGGCAGCAACAUCGAGCCGUCGGUGAGAUCGUGCCUGGAGCGCGCGGGAAUCGCCCAGAACGGCGCCGGCGAGUCUCAGGAGAUCGUGAUUGAGGCGCAGCACUUCCUGGGCUGGCUGCAGCACGAGCCGCAGAGUCUGGUGUGGCUGCCGGUGCUGCACCGGCUGGCGGCGGCGGAGGGCGCCAAGCACCAGGCGAAGUGCAACAUCUGCAAGGAAUAUCCGAUCGUGGGCUUCCGCUAUCGCUGCCUCAAGUGCUUCAACUUCGACAUGUGCCAGAAGUGCUUCUUCCUGGGCAAGAGCGCCAAGAACCACAAGCUCAGCCACCCGAUGCAGGAGUACUGCACCACCACCACGUCCACCGAGGACGUGCGCGACUUCACGCGCGCGCUGCGCAAUAAGUUCAAGAGCCGCAAGUACUUCAAGAAGCACCCGCGCGUCGGCUAUCUGCCCGUGCAGAGUGUCCUGGAGGGCGACGCGCUGGAGAGCCCGGCGCCCAGUCCGCAGCACACCAGCCACACGCUGCAGAGCGACAUGCACUCGCGCCUGGAGAUGUACGCGUCGCGGCUGGCGCAGGUGGAGUUCGGCACGCGCAGCAACUCCACGCCGGACAGCGAUGACGAGCACCAGCUGAUCGCGCAGUACUGCCAGUCGCUGCCGGCCAACGGGCCCAAGUCGCCGGUGCAGGUGAUGGCGGCGAUGGACGCCGAGCAGCGCGAGGAGCUGGAGGCGAUGAUCCGCGACCUGGAGGAGGAGAACGCGUCGCUGCAGGCGGAGUACGACCGGCUGCGCUCCAAGCAGACGCCGUCCACCACGCCCGACGACGGCCAGACGGGCGCCGGCCACGGCCAGGACAUGAUGGCCGAGGCGAAGCUGCUGCGCCAGCACAAGGGACGCCUCGAGGCGCGCAUGCAGAUCCUGGAGGACCACAACAGGCAGCUCGAGGCGCAGCUGCAGCGACUCAGGCAACUGCUAGACGAACCAAAUGUCUCCAAGGCUUCCACGCUGCAGACCAGAUCGGUCACGGCUUCGCAGCUGAACACCGAGUCUCCCGCCAAGAUGCAGCAGAACGGCCAUUAUGAGCAGAAUUCGAACACUAACGCGAUGAACGGCGGCGCUGCGCUCUCCGCCGGCGCGAUGAUGGGCGGCGGCUUGAUGGGCGCCAACGGCGCAGCCAGCGCGGCGGCGCCACACAACGGCGACGGCCGCCCUCCGCCGCCGCCGCACUCCAGCCUCCUUCACAUGGCCGGACGAAUGUAAUUCCGCUGAGCGCUUUUCCGAGCAGGAGAAGAGGAAGAAAGACGUUUGAUUGUGGAUUAAUCUUUGAUCUAAAAGACGAUUUGGGUAAAGUUGUGCAGGAACUCGUGACGGUGAUCACGGAGCAGGAGAUUGAGGAACAUCGAGAGAAGGACUCGUAGGAAAGCCGCAUUUCACGCCUCUGUAAAUAAAGGACUUUUUUUUCCUCACACAAAGUGACUCCAAAGCAUUUGAAGCUGCGCAAUAUUUAACAGUGAUUUUUUUUUUACAAUUUAAACACACACACGCAAAUUGAUGCGGAAAUUUGCAUGAUUUUAACUUUGCUGAGAAAGGAGAAGAAUUUUGUGGGAAAAGAGGCGGAAAUUGUGGGUGGAAAAGAAAAAAAAAAAAAUAUAAAUGGACCCAAAACAUAGGAA
RNA transcript from Phlebotomus argentipes, 10953 nucleotides. It is a transcript of the gene named dystrophin, isoforms A/C/F/G/H, with no coding region annotated. NCBI's taxonomy places the organism in Eukaryota, Metazoa, Arthropoda, Insecta, Diptera, Psychodidae. The transcript is spliced from 32 exons. The record is from RefSeq and is a predicted model, not a curated record.